RNAcentral lists this transfer RNA (65 nucleotides) under Leptalpheus forceps. RNAcentral describes it as "tRNA-Thr". It matches the Rfam family "tRNA". Rfam says of the family: Transfer RNA (tRNA) molecules are approximately 80 nucleotides in length. Their secondary structure includes four short double-helical elements and three loops (D, anti-codon, and T loops). Further hydrogen bonds mediate the characteristic L-shaped molecular structure. tRNAs have two regions of fundamental functional importance: the anti-codon, which is responsible for specific mRNA codon recognition, and the 3' end, to which the tRNAs corresponding amino acid is attached (by aminoacyl-tRNA synthetases). tRNAs cope with the degeneracy of the genetic code in two manners: having more than one tRNA (with a specific anti-codon) for a particular amino acid; and 'wobble' base-pairing, i.e. permitting non-standard base-pairing at the 3rd anti-codon position. Lineage: Eukaryota; Metazoa; Arthropoda; Malacostraca; Decapoda; Alpheidae. The record is from RNAcentral.
ACUUUAAUAGUUUAAGAUUAAAACACCGGUCUUGUAAACCGGAAUCGGAAAUUUUCCUUAAAGUG